CAGAAAGCCCGAUAUUUUCAACCCGGCUCACCUCUCUAUCGCCAACAUUACAACAGCCCCAACUUCAUCUAUUCUUUCUCACCACAAAUCAACUCCACAUGCUGCGAAAACACAAAAAGUGUCGGUCCAGCGACCAUGAUGAACGAGACGCGAUGGAAGUAGCGUACAGUCGUCUUCUGCGCUCACAUGUUUUCAGCAGCUAAAGCAGCUGCUAUGGCUGCAGAUUCAUCCUUGUGACCUUUAGAUUGAGGCACGUAGUGUCUCAAGGACGUUUGAUCGAUCCCAAGCAUCCACUUCCCCUUUCCCAUUUCAGAAUAGGGUCGAAAAUCCCAAAAAGGUUGGUCUAUACAUUUUGAUAAAAGUUUUGGGGGUGUUUUUUUUGUAAUUGAAAGUGAAUUAUGGAAUUUCCAUGGAUACCCUUUUCCCUCCAAAAAUUGGUUACACUAAUAUUCCUCCUAUAUAUUUUCUCUUCAUCUCGUUGAUAGAACUAAGGGGAGACGGAAAAAGAAGAGAAGCUGUUUGAGAAAAGAUUUCUUUGAGAAAAGUUUUUCUUCAGUAGAACAUUGCCUGGCAAGAAGAUAGCAAGAAAGACAGUAAAGAAAGUUAAAAAAAUUAUACACUAAAUGCAUCUGAAAGAGAGGAGUGAAUAGCUUAGAGCUUAGUUUAGUUUCACAUCCAAACUUCCGUUUUCUUGGUCGGAAACUCAAGUUUUUCAAUCUGGCGGUGAGAAACUCGUCUUCUUCAACUCGAAUUCUCGUCCCCAUUCGCUACCCAGAAAAAGGUAAUACUUCUUGGUGUAGUAUUUUGAUGUUAGCAAAGCUUUUUCAUAUGGCUGUUUGGGUUAGAUACUGAUGUUAGCGAAGCUUUUUCAUAUGGCUGUUUGGGUUAGAUACUGUUAGUUUGUUGAUAUUUAGAUAUGGUUUAUAUGUUCCUAGUUAUUCCAUCGCUUUGCUCAUGAUAUUGAGUCAAAUUCAUGGGUUUAUGGCUCAAUAUUAUGAUUUUAGUUCAUUGAGAUUGAGUCUGCUGCCAUUUUCUUGUACUGCCAAUAUUGUUAGUUGGCGAGAAAUGAAGCAAAAAAAUUUGAAAUUUGUUGUUGCAAAAGCUGUUUUUUAUGUUAUUAACUAGGCAUAGAAUACAAUGGCUCAUUCUUCCCCAUCUGUUGAUUAUCCGUCUACUUUUUAUUUUGUUCCAAGUUUUUCUUGUGCUUAGCCUCAUUUCAAGGUAGUCUAAAUAUUUUGUUUAAGCUUUGGAGUUCAACGGCUUCUUCUUUGUUUCCACUUUGUGUUUUUUUAAUUUUUUUUAAAGAUGGUUAACAAACAUUAUAAUCGAGUUGAAUUUUUUUCUCUCUUCAUCAAAAUGUGAUCAUAUUUCUUUGAAUUUGAUGGUUUUAUGAGUCGUUUUAUUGUAAAGUUCUUCAUUGACCUUGAGCACGAUUAACAACGGCUUGUUGUUGAUUGAUUCAAUUAGGGUCAUGCUCGGACUUACGCGCUUACUGUGAAUGUUCUCUUUAUAUCUAUACUCGUUUUCUUACCUAGUCUAUUUACUUAUGCAUAGGCAUACAUAUUCUUAAUUUUUUUCUUUUUCUCCAAGCCUGGACUUUAAAUAAGUUUUGGGUAGGAUUCUUAAGCUAAUAAUAGUUUUUGAUUAUCUCGAUAUUUAGUUUUCUUGUUACUUUUAAAUCAACACUAACUGUGGAAUGUUUAUUGCUUAAUUAUCAGUGAUUCAUUUUUGUGUCGUUAAAAAUCUAACAAUAGACAUUUACAAUAUCUUUUCCGAUCUGUGGUUUAUUUUCAGUUUAUUUCAUUAAUCUCGUAUGCUAAUUUUCUAUUUUAUUUCCUCUGUUGUUAUGAAAAUUUACUCCCGGCUUGCAAUGAAUUCCAUUUCCCUUCCUUGAAUCCUCUUGUAGAGGCGAUGUUGAAACCUUUAUCCAGUCAAUCAUCCAAAAUCGGCGGACAGAUUUUGGAGUAGAAAUAGCUUGAACAAGUCGAAGAAAUUGAAGGAUUUGUGUUAGAGAGUCCAAAAGUUCUUUUUUAUUUUCUAAGUUGUCAUGUUUUGUCGUUUUUGGGCCUAAGCCCUUGUCGUUUUGUCUUCCAUAUUUUGUAUUGUUGUAUGAUUAUAGACUAGAACAUGUACAAAAUAAAGUGAACCAAAAGCCCAAAACAAAGCGGGUCCAAAUACCGAUCCAGGCGGACAGAAAUUGGAUUUAGACACAAUCCUCUCUCUCUCUCUCUCUUUACUCUAUCAUUUACUUAUCUGCUUUUAUUUGUUUCUAGUUCUAAGGUCAGAUCCAAAUCCUCGCAAACGUCAUAAUGUUUUAUCAACCCAAAAUUGAAUCAAAUGUAAAUAGGUUUUUCUUCAAAAUAAAAGACGAAUAAACUAGCAAACCAAAUCUUACUUGGUUAUUAAAAUUAAUACUUCUUUUACAUAAAUAACUUCAGAUAAAGUUAUAGCUUAAAACUUUUAAAUCUUUUAGCCGAAUAACAUUAGUUGAUUGGAAAAUCGCAUUAGCGAAUAUUUUAGGUGUCGUAAAAAUCUUCCUAAAAUAUAAAUAACAAUCCCCGGACCCCUUUAAAGUUUUCAAAAUGAUUUUUCUAUUUAAGUAUUUCGAAAACAAAAGUUUUCUUGAUUUUUCUUUAAUAAUUAAGUGGUGACUCUAAAAAAUUAAAAAUGAAUUAAAACAUAUAUUUUACCGAAAAUGUAUAAGAUAGAAAUGGCGACUCACCAAGGGAUUUAGAGGAUUCUAACCUUAAAACUAACGUAUUGCAUUCAUGGCAUAUCACAACUCCGUCAAAUGAUGAUUAUUUUUAUUUACCACUUACAGGACGAUUAUGCAGGUUCACAGUCUUUCAUUAACCAAAUCUUUCUUGGGGCACCAUGAUGAAUGUAGUUGGCUACUUGAUACUCAACGGUCGUUAAUUUUCCCAACCCAAGUAGUUCGUUUGGGUUACCCUUUCCACUAUAAAUACAACACACUCCUAGUUAAACUAAAAUAAAGCGAAACCAAAUCCUGAAAAGUAGCGCAUUGGCCUAAGAUGACUCAACACCCAAGGAGUGUUGGGCCCAUUCGAAAGAUCGCCUUGAGUCCAAAAAGCCCACAACUCGAUAGGAAGAUCAUAUUUAUGUGCUGAAUUUGAAAGAUGUUUGUGUGUUUAACUGUUUGUGGUGUUCUAGGGGUAGAAACAAACUAGUUGUAUGUUUUUGUAGAUGCCGAGUCAAUUUCUCAGUUUCAAUAUGGUCACCAAGACACCAGACAUUCUUCGCAUAUGGUGGAACAAUCUUAAAGCUUGUCAAAAGAGGGAAAUCUCGAUCCAGUGAUAUACCAUGGUUUCACAGUAUAAUUAAUACUUUUUCCUUAAGUUUAGUGUGUCCGAAAGUCUUUUUGUGCUAAUUUUUAUAUAAGUUUCUCUUUGUUUUGCAGGAAAUCUGUCCAAAGCUGAAUGCGGAGAUUUUGAGCAAAAAAAUGCAGAAGAGACC
RNAcentral lists this long non-coding RNA (3474 nucleotides) under Solanum lycopersicum (tomato). Its description in RNAcentral is "long non-coding RNA (SLYC_LNC000892)". The record is from RNAcentral. Lineage: Eukaryota; Viridiplantae; Streptophyta; Magnoliopsida; Solanales; Solanaceae.